Molecule: long non-coding RNA, 541 nt
Filed under: Bos taurus (domestic cattle)
Lineage: Eukaryota; Metazoa; Chordata; Mammalia; Artiodactyla; Bovidae
Description: long non-coding RNA NONBTAT011454
Source: RNAcentral
GGGCCUUCUCUCUUCUCGAGCUGCUUCAUGUGCUCAAAACACACAUGCAGUAGUAAAAUGUGUGGGUUUUCUGUGCUUUUUAAAGAUCUUUUAAUAAGACUUUUCUAAAUAAAUUUCUCAAAAUUAAAAGUGAGAGUGUCCUCUCCCUGUUUUCUCCCCCAUGCUCAGUCCUUCUGAAGUCAGAAGACUGUAUACAUAGAUGUUCAGAAAGGAUUCCAGCUGGUAUGUAAGUGAAUGUCAGUGUCCUGAAUGUGAACCAGAAGAAUUCCUGAUGCUUCAAUUUCUAAAAUAUUCCCAUUUUAAAUGAUAAUAUUUGAGUUUCUACUUCAUAAAGUAACUCUGGGGUGCUUAUUUUAGACAAUUCUUUAAGCUUUUUAUUUAUUCUCUAAGAAAGUAAUCUUCCUAUUGCCAGUUGCCGAGAAACAUCAGGAUCUAGGAAAAUGUAGGGCCAGAGAGUAGUACAAAGUGUUAAAUUAUCAGAGUUUAUGUAUAUUAUAUAAACAGCUAUAAGUUAAGCAAGAUUUGGGCAUGUUAUGUAUAA